UGGGGAAUAUUGGGCAAUGGGCGAAAGCCUGACCCAGCAACGCCGCGUGAAGUAUGAAGGCCUGCGGGUUGUAAACUUCUCUGAUCAGGGAAGUAACAAAUGACGGUACCUGAAAAACAAGCCACGGCUAACUACGUGCCAGCAGCCGCGGUAAUACGUAGGUGGCGAGCGUUAUCCGGAUUUACUGGGUGUAAAGGGCGUGCAGGCGGGCUGAUAAGUCAGAUGUGAAAUCACCGAGCUUAACUCGGGAACUGCAGCUGAGACUGUUGGUAUUGAGUGCAGGAGAGGAUAGUGGAAUUCCUUGUGUAGCGGUAAAAUGAGCAGAUAUUAGGAGGAACACCAGUGGCGGAGACGGCUAGCUGGACAGUAACUGACGCUGAGGCGCGAAAGCGUGGGUAGCAAACAGG
Molecule: ribosomal RNA, 407 nt
Filed under: Verrucomicrobiota bacterium
Lineage: Bacteria; Pseudomonadati; Verrucomicrobiota
Description: Verrucomicrobia bacterium partial 16S ribosomal RNA
Rfam family: Bacterial small subunit ribosomal RNA
Source: RNAcentral